AUUGAACGCUGGCGGCAGGCCUAACACAUGCAAGUCGAACGAGUGGAGGACGGGUGAGUAAUGUCUGAGAACCUGCCUGAUGGAGCGGGCAAACUACUGGAAACGGUAGCUACUAGCGCAUACCAUCCGAUGUGCACCGAGGGGAUUAGCUAGUAGGUGGGGGAAAGGCUCACCUAGGCGACGAUGCCUAGCUGGUCUGAGAGGAUGACCAGCCACACUGGAACUGAGACACGGUCCAGACUCCUACGGGAGGCAGCAGUGGGGAAUAUUGCACAAUGGUCGCAAGCCUGAUCGAGCCAUGCCGCGUGUAUGAAGAAGGCUUUCGGGUUGUAAAGUACUUUCAGUGGGGAAGCGUUACCCGCAGAGAAAGCACCGGCUAACUCCGUGCCAGCAGCCGCGGUAAUAC
This 406-nucleotide ribosomal RNA is filed under the name uncultured bacterium. RNAcentral's name for it is "partial 16S ribosomal RNA". It matches the Rfam family "Bacterial small subunit ribosomal RNA", at positions 30 to 526 of the family's 1533-position model. The record is from RNAcentral.